RNAcentral lists this ribosomal RNA (253 nucleotides) under uncultured bacterium. Its description in RNAcentral is "partial 16S ribosomal RNA". It matches the Rfam family "Bacterial small subunit ribosomal RNA", at positions 524 to 776 of the family's 1533-position model. The record is from RNAcentral.
UACGUAGGGACCGAGCGUUGUCCGGAAUCAUUGGGCGUAAAGAGCGUGUAGGCGGCCUUUUAAGUCCUGCGUGAAAUCCUGCGGCUCAACCGCAGACGGUCGUGGGAAACUGGAAGGCUAGAGUGCGGGAGAGGAGAGUGGAAUUCCCGGUGUAGCGGUGAAAUGCGCAGAUAUCUGGAGGAACACCAGUGGCGAAGGCGGCAUCCUGGACCGGCAUUGACGCUGAGGCGCGAAAGCUAGGGGAGCAAACGGG